RNAcentral lists this ribosomal RNA (253 nucleotides) under uncultured bacterium. RNAcentral's name for it is "partial 16S ribosomal RNA". It matches the Rfam family "Bacterial small subunit ribosomal RNA", at positions 524 to 776 of the family's 1533-position model. The record is from RNAcentral.
UACAGAGGUCUCGAGCGUUAGGCGGAAUCACUGGGCUUAAAGCGUGUGUAGGUGGAUGCCUAAGUACCUUGUGAAAUCCCACAGCUUAACUGUGGAACUGCUUGGUAUACUGGGUGUCUUGAGUCACUCAGGGGCGAGCGGAACAAAUGGUGGAGCGGUGAAAUGCGUAGAUAUCAUUUGGAACGCCAAUGGUGAAAACAGGCAGCUGGGGAAGUGCUGACGCUGAGACACGAAAGCCAGGGGAGCGAACGGG